Molecule: long non-coding RNA, 1330 nt
Organism: Pecten maximus
Lineage: Eukaryota; Metazoa; Mollusca; Bivalvia; Pectinida; Pectinidae
Exons: 2
Source: RefSeq, a predicted model, not a curated record
GUCACAUGGUUUCAUCGUCACAUGACGGAUGUAAUGUGUCAGUUUCUAAAAAUAGCUGUUAAGUGCUGUCCAUAUAUAGCCAGUCACAGGGUGUACACAAUAAACUACAACAGGAUCGCCGACUCUGCCAGAAAAAUAAAUUGAGACAAAACGAAACAAGGCCAUGUAUCGCCCAGCCCAGCCAGCGGUGAAUGUGACAGUACACCCCCCGCCCCAGCCAGGAUACCCCGCGCCAAACACGGGCUAUAAUGGAGGCCAGCCGUACCCACAGCCAUACCCACAGUCGUACCCACAGCCAUACCCACAGCCGGCGCCACAACCAUACCCCGCGCCCCCGGUAACGUACCCCGCCCAGCAACCCCCGGUGGUGUACCCUGCUGGAUACGUUCAGCCCCAACCACCCGUCUUCGUCCCUGGUCCCCGACCCCCGAGAAUCGACAUCCACCUCGGCCGCGGACCAAGAUUCGGACCUUUUCAUCAUCAUCACCACCGCCAUCACCAUGGCCAUGGCCAUCACUGGUAAUCGGAUGAGCACAUGUACGUGUGUUCCGUAGUGCUAAACUUUCCCAGUAAAAGGUAUAUAUAUUAUAUAUAAAUAAUUUAUAUACUCUUUUAACGGAAAUUACGGAAACAGGAUGGCAUAGCCAGCGGAAGUGGAUGGCGUUCUGGCCAUAAUGAUAUACACACAUCACCAUAACAACUAUUAUAGGAAAUCCUUGAUGAUCCGAAAACAGUAAAUCUGUUUUGAUUAACGACUCACAAAACAUGUGGAUUAUACAUAUGUUAGUUGUAUGGUGAGGUAACAACGUUUUACUGAAUUUCGGACAACUGGACCUUGACCACAUGCAGUUUGCUGGACAUUGUUUCAAACUCUACGGUGUAAAUAGGGGUCAGAAUGCAGGAUGCUCAAAGUCCGCAUUCUAGCGGCGGUCACUAUCUGUAACAUAAACAGGUGGCCCUAUAUAUCUACAUACUGUGGAAUGUGUUCGUGUUGGCAGCAUACAUAUUAUCAUAUGUUUACAUUUUCUGCUGUGAUACUAAUGCUAAAUAAUGUGAUUGUUAUUAACUUCAUCCGUACAACAUUUAGCCCGAGUUUCCUCUAGCCCCAACACCAGAUCUAGACAUUAGACACACCAGACAUCUGUCCGUCAAAAUGUCUAACGUCCGGUGUUGGGACCAGAACCUUGCAAAAUGACGCACAGCAAUGCUUGUGAGAUUAGUUACUAAUGUUGAACGUGAUUUUUUAAUCAUUUUUAAAUACAGUAUAUUUAUAACUAGUAAAAAUGAUAUUUAUUCAUGUUUUAUCAAAUAAACACGUUGAACAUAGCAA